CAAAGAGUAGUUUAAGUAGAACUCUAGUUUUGGGGGCUAGGGGUGGAAGUUAAAUUCUUCUCUCUUUGA
RNAcentral lists this transfer RNA (69 nucleotides) under Inegocia japonica (rusty flathead). RNAcentral's name for it is "tRNA-Pro". It matches the Rfam family "tRNA". Rfam says of the family: Transfer RNA (tRNA) molecules are approximately 80 nucleotides in length. Their secondary structure includes four short double-helical elements and three loops (D, anti-codon, and T loops). Lineage: Eukaryota; Metazoa; Chordata; Actinopteri; Perciformes; Platycephalidae. The record is from RNAcentral.